GAUGAACGCUAGCUACAGGCUUAACACAUGCAAGUCGAGGGGCAUCAGGAAGAAAGCUUGCUUUCUUUGCUGGCGACCGGCGCACGGGUGAGUAACACGUAUCCAACCUGCCCUUUACUCGGGGAUAGCCUUUCGAAAGAAAGAUUAAUACCCGAUGGGAUAAUGAUUCCGCAUGGUUUGAUUAUUAAAGGAUUCCGGUAAAGGAUGGGGAUGCGUUCCAUUAGGUUGUUGGUGAGGUAACGACUCACCAAGCCUUCGAUGGAUAGGGGUUCUGAGAGUAAGGUCCCCCACAUUGGAACUGAGACACGGUCCAAACCCCUACGGGAGGCAGCAGUGAGGAAUAUUGGUCAAUGGGCGCGAGCCUGAACCAGCCAAGUAGCGUGAAGGAUGACUGCCCUAUGGGUUGUAAACUUCUUUUAUAUUAGAAUAAAGUGCAGUAUGUAUACUGUUUUGUAUGUAUAAUAUGAAUAAGGAUCGGCUAACUCCGUGCCAGCCGCCGCCGUAA
RNAcentral lists this ribosomal RNA (505 nucleotides) under uncultured bacterium. Its description in RNAcentral is "partial 16S ribosomal RNA". It matches the Rfam family "Bacterial small subunit ribosomal RNA", at positions 28 to 523 of the family's 1533-position model. The record is from RNAcentral.